UGCCAGCAGCCGCGGUAAUACGGAGAGGGCAAGUGUUGUUCGGAUUUAUUGGGCGUAAAGAGCACGUAGGCGGUUGAGUAAGUCGGAUGUUAAAGACCCACGGCUCACCCGGGGGAAUGCGUUCGAAACUGCUCGACUAGAGUAUAGGAGAGGAAAGUGGAAUUCCAGGUGUAGCGGUGAAAUGCGUAGAUAUCUGGAGGAACAUCGGUGGCGAAGGCGGCUUUCUGGACCGAUACUGACGCUGAGACGCGAAAGCGUGGGGAGCAAACAGGAUUAGAUA
RNAcentral lists this ribosomal RNA (280 nucleotides) under uncultured bacterium. Its description in RNAcentral is "partial 16S ribosomal RNA". It matches the Rfam family "Bacterial small subunit ribosomal RNA", at positions 506 to 784 of the family's 1533-position model. The record is from RNAcentral.